Molecule: long non-coding RNA, 294 nt
Filed under: Gossypium barbadense (sea-island cotton)
Lineage: Eukaryota; Viridiplantae; Streptophyta; Magnoliopsida; Malvales; Malvaceae
Description: long non-coding RNA (GBAR_LNC020823)
Source: RNAcentral
UCUAUCUCCUCGCGGAUCUGUACUAGAAACAUCCAUGUCGUCUAAAGAGACGUCAGCUUCGCAGUCAUAGAAUGUGUUUCUCUCUUCAUUCAUAUCUGUAGUACGUUCAUCCUCAGCAUGUAUUUCUUCAAGAACAUCAGCAACUGUUUGAGCGUCUUUCCCAGUCGCCCGAUCUCUUGCGUAUAUGGCAGUAAGCUGGUUGUAGUAAGGGAAAGAAUGAUGUCUGAACUGAGAGGCUUCUUUGUGACUCUAAAAAAAAUGAGGAAAUCAUAUUAGUUAUAAGUUUUGUAAAAA